AGUGAACGCUGGCGGUAGGCCUAACACAUGCAAGUCGAACGGCAGCACAGUAAGAGCUUGCUCUUACGGGUGGCGAGUGGCGGACGGGUGAGGAAUACAUCGGAAUCUACUUUUUCGUGGGGGAUAACGUAGGGAAACUUACGCUAAUACCGCAUACGACCUACGGGUGAAAGCAGGGGAUCUUCGGACCUUGCGCGAUUGAAUGAGCCGAUGUCGGAUUAGCUAGUUGGCGGGGUAAAGGCCCACCAAGGCGACGAUCCGUAGCUGGUCUGAGAGGAUGAUCAGCCACACGGGAACUGAGACACGGUCCAGACUCCUACGGGAGGCAGCAGUGGGGAAUAUUGGACAAUGGGCGAAAGCCUGAUACAGCCAUACCGCGUGGGUGAAGAAGGCCUUCGGGUUGUAAAGCCCUUUUGUUGGGAAAGAAAAGCAGCAGGUUAAUACCCCGCUGUUCUGACGGUACCCAAAGAAUAAGCACCGGCUAACUUCGUG
RNAcentral lists this ribosomal RNA (492 nucleotides) under uncultured bacterium. Its description in RNAcentral is "partial 16S ribosomal RNA". It matches the Rfam family "Bacterial small subunit ribosomal RNA", at positions 29 to 507 of the family's 1533-position model. The record is from RNAcentral.